UACGUAGGGGGCAAGCGUUGUCCGGAUUUAUUGGGCGUAAAGAGCGUGUAGGCGGCUAGAUAGGUCCGUUGUGAAAACUCGAGGCUCAACCUCGAGACGUCGAUGGAAACCAUCUGGCUAGAGUCCGGAAGAGGAGAGUGGAAUUCCUGGUGUAGCGGUGAAAUGCGCAGAUAUCAGGAAGAACACCCGUGGCGAAGGCGGCUUUCUGGUACGUGACUGACGCUGAGACGCGAAAGCGUGGGGAGCAAACAGG
RNAcentral lists this ribosomal RNA (253 nucleotides) under uncultured bacterium. Its description in RNAcentral is "partial 16S ribosomal RNA". It matches the Rfam family "Bacterial small subunit ribosomal RNA", at positions 524 to 776 of the family's 1533-position model. The record is from RNAcentral.